RNAcentral lists this ribosomal RNA (253 nucleotides) under uncultured bacterium. Its description in RNAcentral is "partial 16S ribosomal RNA". It matches the Rfam family "Bacterial small subunit ribosomal RNA", at positions 524 to 776 of the family's 1533-position model. The record is from RNAcentral.
UACAGAGGGGGCAAGCGUUGUUCGGAAUUACUGGGCGUAAAGGGCGCGUAGGCGGCCUUCUAAGUCGAACGUGAAAUCCCCGGGCUCAACCCGGGAACUGCGUCCGAGACUGAAAGGCUUGAAUCCGGGAGAGGGAUGUGGAAUUCCAGGUGUAGCGGUGAAAUGCGUAGAUAUCUGGAGGAACACCGGUGGCGAAGGCGGCAUUCUGGACCGAAACUGACGCUGAGGCGCGAAAGCGUGGGGAGCAAACAGG